AGAUAGCGGACCACCACAGGUGCCGCAAGGCUAAAAGGGAAUCAGGUGAAAAUCCUGAGCGGUCGCGCCACUGUAACCGGGGAGCCGUCCUUCGUAAAGCCCACUGGGGUACGCCCUGGGAAGGGGAAGGAUGGCGGUGAGCCGGAGCCAGGAGACCUACCUGUGGUGACUCUAAACC
Molecule: non-coding RNA, 178 nt
Filed under: Moorella sp. (in: firmicutes)
Lineage: Bacteria; Bacillati; Bacillota; Clostridia; Neomoorellales; Neomoorellaceae
Source: RNAcentral